This 253-nucleotide ribosomal RNA is filed under the name uncultured bacterium. Its description in RNAcentral is "partial 16S ribosomal RNA". It matches the Rfam family "Bacterial small subunit ribosomal RNA", at positions 524 to 776 of the family's 1533-position model. The record is from RNAcentral.
UACAGAGGUCCCAAGCGUUGUUCGGAUUCAUUGGGCGUAAAGGGUGUGUAGGUGGCGCCGUAAGUCGGGUGUGAAAUCUCGGGGCUUAACUCCGAAACUGCAUUCGAUACUGCGGUGCUUGAGGACUGGAGAGGAGACUGGAAUUCAUGGUGUAGCAGUGAAAUGCGUAGAGAUCAUGAGGAAGACCAGUGGCGAAGGCGGGUCUCUGGACAGUUCCUGACACUGAGACACGGAGGCCAGGGGAGCAAACGGG